AUCUAAUGCUUUCCACUAUUGCUAUCUUGUACUACCUGACUCCAGUUGCUACACAUUGCCGAUAUAUCCUUCCUUUGAUUAUCUAAGCUAUUGUACUUGCUAUGGUAUCGAUCGUUAGACUGUAUUGGUGUCUUGCUACAAAUUGGACAGGUUGACAGGUAGUUGGUCAUUACAUUCUAUUUGUUCUGUCAUUAAUACCGCAAACGUUUAGCUAUUAUAUUGUUAGAGCUAUGUAGGCUCCUGUGGAAGGUCUUCACCUUAACAAAUUGUAUGAGUAUGUAGUCUGAUAUGGCCAAGUGCCAGAUUUAUUGAGAUAUUUGAAAACUUUCAACAACGGAUCUCUUGGCUCUCGCAUCGAUGAAGAACGCAGCGAAAUGCGAUAAGUAAUGUGAAUUGCAGAAUUCAGUGAAUCAUCGAAUCUUUGAACGCACAUAGCGCCCUUUGGUAUUCCUUAGGGCAUACCUGUUCGAGCGUCACUGCUAACUUCCUCACAAAUAUUGUGGUCUUGGUUGCUGUAGAUUGUGGGUAUAUUUAGUACAUAUGCUCACGAGAUACUCUGCUAAAAUUCAUCAGGUGGAUACCAGGUAUAAAUAACAGACUUUAUAAAUGUCU
RNAcentral lists this ribosomal RNA (612 nucleotides) under uncultured fungus. Its description in RNAcentral is "eukaryotic LSU rRNA". The stretch from base 323 to 476 matches the Rfam family "5.8S ribosomal RNA". The record is from RNAcentral. Lineage: Eukaryota; Fungi.